Molecule: transfer RNA, 108 nt
Filed under: Candidatus Helarchaeota archaeon
Lineage: Archaea; Promethearchaeati; Candidatus Helarchaeota
Description: tRNA-Gln
Source: RNAcentral
AGCCCGGUGGUGUAGCGGUCAAUUAUUCGGCUAUACGCAAUAGCCGUAUUAGACGAUGCAUAGAGGCCUCUGGAGCCUUAGACCCUGGUUCGAAUCCGGGCCGGGCUA